AUAUGGGCCAGUUAUUGGGCCUUUUAAAAUUGUAGAUUACAUUUUCGUUAACUUGGUCAUGUUCGAAAAACUCGGAGUCCUCACGUCAGCGCCGGCGAAAUUCCGGUACUGCUCCGUCUUCUACGUGUAUUGAAGGAAAGUGUGACUGAGAUUGAAGAGUAUUGAUGGGGUCAGAAUUGUGGUAUACAUACAAGUAGAUGAAAAAUGGACCCAAGAGCUAAUCAAUGAGACAUCAAUGACAACAAAAAACCAGCACAAAGAAAAGAAAGCUUGAGGAAAGGCUUGGCUCGAGGAAAACAAUUUCAGAGCAAAACCCAAAAAAAUGAAAAGAAAAGACUCUCAAAGUUUAAGGGACAAGUCAAGGUUCUUCUGCUUCUCUUCUUCAGCUGGCUUCAACAAUUCCUCGCCUCUCUGCCAUAGUUCAGAAGUUGGAAACUCUACUGGAAUCCUUCCUACAUCGAACCUACCGAUGUUUUCACAUGUGGAAGUCAACGGUGGAGCAAUCAUCAUCUGAUGAUGAUUAUAAUGAUUCUCUGUUGAAGUUAGUUUUGCUAUUGCUGGUUGCUGAACUAGUGGUAUCCUUGACCAGUUGAUCUGACCAUACUCACCACCGUAAACGUUAUAUGAACUUGGCUUAUGACUCAUUGAGUGUGCCUGAAUACCCAAGGUUCUGUUGCUGUACUGUCCAUGGAACGGGACCGGAGCAAAACCAUAUGGAUGCCCGAAAGCUGCGGCAGAUGCCAUCCGUUGCCCUCGCUUUGCCAAAGUCCUUUCUCUUUUGUGGGCGUUUUGGUGACCACCAAGCGCCUGUGAGCUGUAGAAUGUUCUUUGACAGUAGUUGCAUGAGAAGAGCUUCUGUUCAGUGGAAGUUGACCCGUUAAAACUCGGAGUGACUACACCUGUCUCUAAGCAGUCGAGGAGAUUGAGUUCUUGAUUGAGCUGUGGUUGACUAGAAUCAUAUCCUGCUAGCAUAAGGUCAAGCUUUAUACCUUCCACUCCUUCUUUUUGGUCAUGAUCAUCUUCUUCUUGUGCUGCUACUGUGUCUAUGUUGUAAUUUUCUAGGCUCAGCUUUGGGGAAUCUGAAAAUUGAAGACUGGUGGAUGCAGAAAUGAUGCAUGAGGAAUCAGAUGAUCUUGGUUUUCCGCUGGAAGAAUCCAUGAGGGGCAAAGAGGGUAUAUAAUUUUCCAGGUGAUGGUUUUGUUCACUUCAAUUGUCUCUCUCUCUCACCUUAUGGAUUAAUAGCUAUAUAGCCUAAGAAAAAAAGAAGCAUAAAAGUCUAGUUUUUUCACAGAAGUGGGAGCAGAAGUUGAUGCUAUAUAAGGAAAGUAUAGACUCAGUACAAAUGCUUUUGGAGUUUGUAAUAAGUGGAGAAAAGUAGUAAGAAGAUGAGAGAGAUAGAGAAAGAGAGAUGGGUAGGUCUUGUUUGCUGACACACCACACACACACACACACAAAGACACAACAAAACACUUGAAGCUGAUUGGAACUCCACCAAUUAAUACCUGUGUUUAUCCCUUUGUAGGAGCAACUUUCACUUCACAUCAACCUUUUUUUGGGCUGCUUUCUCCUUCAAUACACCAAUCUCUAUUCCCUAUCAUGCAUAAUCUUCUUUAACUUUUUUUUUCCUGUUCUCUCAGUCUAUUGCCUUUAUGUGCUUAAAAGUUCUUCAACAAACAAGUAUACAUGUCAUUUCUUUUUCUUAUACCCAGGUUGAUGCCAAUGACAUGUAGAGUUGGGCUUAAUUCAAGAAAGCCAUCCCAAUGAAUAUUUACUUUUUGUCUUGGACUCCUGAUUCUAAUAGGCCCCAACUCGUCUUCAUUUGGUAUAGUUUUGUAUGCAGCCGCGGAUAUGUACUCUUUUGUAUGAGGAAAAAAGGAUUUGGAGGGGGGAACAAGACAAAAGAAAGCUUGGCAGUUCAAAAGAUCUUCUGAAACUGGGACCGGUUUUAUUUGUUUGGAUGAAACGACAACUUGUUGUAAUAUUCACGGAGUAGAUGAAGAUGACAACAAGUGACAAUGAAAUUGAAAAGGAUGCUCAAUGACAAGAGAGAGAGAUAAGGAGAGAGUGGACCAAGUGAAACUAUUCAGGUAUGUUUGAUGUUUUUGUGUACUUUUGAAACUUCGAGAUGAAAGUGGUCAUCUCUGUUUCCUUUUAGCUUUCCACUGUUUAACUCUCUUUUGUCCUCUUUUCACUUCUUCCUUUUGAAGUUUGCUUCACAUUCACACUCUCCUUCAUCUUUAUAUCCAUUGGAAUCCUUAAUAGUUUGCCGGAUUUUAUGGUUGAAAGGUACGAAACUCCCUUAGGACACAUUCUACUUCACAG
Molecule: long non-coding RNA, 2322 nt
Filed under: Arabidopsis thaliana (thale cress)
Lineage: Eukaryota; Viridiplantae; Streptophyta; Magnoliopsida; Brassicales; Brassicaceae
Description: [] (AT5G10965)
Source: RNAcentral